RNAcentral lists this small RNA (48 nucleotides) under Arabidopsis thaliana (thale cress). RNAcentral describes it as "ATSL016190". The record is from RNAcentral. Lineage: Eukaryota; Viridiplantae; Streptophyta; Magnoliopsida; Brassicales; Brassicaceae.
GAAAUUGAGAGAGAGUAGAACACUAAAUUAGCAAAAUGGCUGCAAAAA